Molecule: ribosomal RNA, 482 nt
Filed under: uncultured bacterium
Lineage: Bacteria
Description: partial 16S ribosomal RNA
Rfam family: Bacterial small subunit ribosomal RNA
Source: RNAcentral
AUUGAACGCUGGCGGCAUGCCUUACACAUGCCAGUCGAACGGUAACAGGUCUUCGGAUGCUGACGAGUGGCGAACGGGUGAGUAAUACAUCGGAACGUGCCCAGACGUGGGGGAUAACGAGGCGAAAGCUUUGCUAAUACCGCAUACGAUCUAAGGAUGAAAGCAGGGGACCGCAAGGCCUUGUGCGUUUGGAGCGGCCGAUGGCAGAUUAGGUAGUUGGUGGGAUAAAAGCUUACCAAGCCGACGAUCUGUAGCUGGUCUGAGAGGACGACCAGCCACACUGGGACUGAGACACGGCCCAGACUCCUACGGGAGGCAGCAGUGGGGAAUUUUGGACAAUGGGCGAAAGCCUGAUCCAGCAAUGCCGCGUGCAGGAUGAAGGCCUUCGGGUUGUAAACUGCUUUUGUACGGAACGAAAAGGCUCUGGCUAAUACCUGGGGCACAUGACGGUACCGUAAGGAUAAGCACCGGCUAACUACGUG